UGGGGAAUAUUGGACAAUGGGGGCAACCCUGAUCCAGCAAUGCCGCGUGUGUGAAGAAGGUCUUCGGAUUGUAAAGCACUUUCGACGGGGACGAUGAUGACGGUACCCGUAGAAGAAGCCCCGGCUAACUUCGUGCCAGCAGCCGCGGUAAUACGAAGGGGGCUAGCGUUGCUCGGAAUGACUGGGCGUAAAGGGCUGUAGGCGGUUUACACAGUCAGAUGUGAAAUCCCCGGGCUUAACCUGGGAGCUGCAUUUGAUACGUGUAGACUAGAGUGUGAGAGAGGGUUUGUGGAAUUCCCAGUGUAGAGGUGAAAUUCGUAGAUAUUGGGAAGAACACCGGUGGCGAAGCGGCAACCUGGCUCAUGACUGACGCUGAGGCGCGAAAAGCGUGGGGAGCAAACAGGAUUAGGA
Molecule: ribosomal RNA, 411 nt
Filed under: uncultured bacterium
Lineage: Bacteria
Description: partial 16S ribosomal RNA
Rfam family: Bacterial small subunit ribosomal RNA
Source: RNAcentral